RNAcentral lists this ribosomal RNA (866 nucleotides) under uncultured marine group I thaumarchaeote. RNAcentral describes it as "SSU rRNA". It matches the Rfam family "Archaeal small subunit ribosomal RNA", at positions 27 to 901 of the family's 1478-position model. Lineage: Archaea; Thermoproteati; Nitrososphaerota. The record is from RNAcentral.
CUGCUAUCGGAUGAUACUAAGCCAUGCGAGUCUUUGUAGUAAUACAAGGCAUACGGCUCAGUAACACGUAGUCAACCUACCCUAUGGACGAGAAUAAUCUCGGGAAACUGAGCAUAAUUCUUGAUAGAUCAUGAUGCCUGGAAUGGUUUAUGGUUAAAAUGAUUCGUCGCCAUAGGAUGGGACUGCGGCCUAUCAGCUUGUUGGUGAGGUAAUGGCCCACCAAGGCGAUUACAGGUACGGGCUCUGAGAGGAGAAGCCCGGAGAUGGGUACUGAGACACGGACCCAGGCCCUAUGGGGCGCAGCAGGCGAGAAAACUUUGCAAUGUGCGAAAGCACGACAAGGUUAAUCCGAGUGAUUUCUGCUAAAGAAAUCUUUUGCCAGUCAUAAAACCACUGGUGAAUAAGGGGUGGGCAAGUUCUGGUGUCAGCCGCCGCGGUAAAACCAGCACCUCAAGUGGUCAGGAUGAUUAUUGGGCCUAAAGCAUCCGUAGCCGGCUUUGUUAGUUUUCGGUUAAAUCCAUGUGCUCAACGCAUGGGCUGCCGAAAAUACUGCAUAGCUAGGGAGUGGGAGAGGUAGACGGUACUCAGUAGGAAGGGGUAAAAUCCUUUGAUCUAUUGAUGACCACCUGUGGCGAAGGCGGUCUACCAGAACACGUUCGACGGUGAGGGAUGAAAGCUGGGGGAGCAAACCGGAUUAGAUACCCGGGUAGUCCCAGCCGUAAACGAUGCAGACUCGAUGAUGCAUUGGCAUAAUAGCCAAUGCAGUGUCGCAGGGAAGCCGUUAAGUCUGCCGCCUGGGAAGUACGUACGCAAGUAUGAAACUUAAAGGAAUUGGCGGGGAGCACCACAAGGGUGAAGCCUGCGGU